GAUGAACGCUGGCGGCGUGCCUAAUACAUGCAAGUCGAGCGAACAGACGAGGAGCUUGCUCCUCUGACGUUAGCGGCGGACGGGUGAGUAACACGUGGAUAACCUACCUAUAAGACUGGGAUAACUUCGGGAAACCGGAGCUAAUACCGGAUAAUAUAUUGAACCGCAUGGUUCAAUAGUGAAAGACGGUUUUGCUGUCACUUAUAGAUGGAUCCGCGCCGCAUUAGCUAGUUGGUAAGGUAACGGCUUACCAAGGCGACGAUGCGUAGCCGACCUGAGAGGGUGAUCGGCCACGCUGGAACUGAGACACGGUCCAGACUCCUACGGGAGGCAGCAGUAGGGAAUCUUCCGCAAUGGACGAAAGCCUGACGGAGCAACGCCGAGUGAGUGAUGAAGGUCUUCGGAUCGUAAAACUCUGUUAUUAGGGAAGAACAAAUGUGUAAGUAACUAUGCACGUCUUGACGGUACCUGAUCAGAAAGCCACGGCUAACUACGUG
RNAcentral lists this ribosomal RNA (497 nucleotides) under uncultured bacterium. Its description in RNAcentral is "partial 16S ribosomal RNA". It matches the Rfam family "Bacterial small subunit ribosomal RNA", at positions 28 to 507 of the family's 1533-position model. The record is from RNAcentral.